GACGAACGCUGGCGGCGUGCUUAACACAUGCAAGUCGAGCGGAAAGGCCCUUCGGGGUACUCGAGCGGCGAACGGGUGAGUAACACGUGAGUAACCUGCCCUUGGCUCUGGGAUAGCUCCGGGAAACCGGAAUUAAUACCGGAUAUGACCUCGGCCGACAUCGGCUGUGGUGGAAAGAUUUAUCGGCCAGGGAUGGGCUCGCGGCCUAUCAGCUAGUUGGUGGGG
This 225-nucleotide ribosomal RNA is filed under the name uncultured bacterium. Its description in RNAcentral is "partial 16S ribosomal RNA". It matches the Rfam family "Bacterial small subunit ribosomal RNA", at positions 28 to 257 of the family's 1533-position model. The record is from RNAcentral.